UAGUCCACGCCCUAAACGAUGCUAACUCGAUGUAUGAGACAUAAGUGCUUGUGCGUCUAAGCGAAAGCGAUAAGUUAGCCACCUGGGGAGUACGUCGGCAACGAUGAAACUCAAAGGAAUUGACGGGGGCCCGCACAAGCGGUGGAGCAUGUGGUUUAAUUCGAUGCAACGCGAAGAACCUUACCAGGUCUUGACAUCCUGAAAACUUUCUAGAGAUAGAUUGGUGCCUUCGGGAAUUCAGUGACAGGUGCUGCAUGGCUGUCGUCAGCUCGUGUCGUGAGAUGUUGGGUUAAGUCCCGCAACGAGCGCAACCCUUAUUUUAGUUGCCAUAUGGAACUCUAGAAAGACUGCCGGUUAUAAACCGGAGGAAGGCGGGGAUGACGUCAAGUCAGCAUGCCCCUUAAACCCUGGGCUACACACGUGCUACAAUGGGCGAGACAAUGAGAUGCAACUCUGCGAAGAUUAGCUAAUCUAUAAACUCGUUCUAAGUUCGGAUUG
RNAcentral lists this ribosomal RNA (498 nucleotides) under uncultured bacterium. Its description in RNAcentral is "bacterial SSU rRNA". It matches the Rfam family "Bacterial small subunit ribosomal RNA", at positions 791 to 1300 of the family's 1533-position model. The record is from RNAcentral.